UCCACAGUCUACGAUUUUCAGUGUUUUCGUUUCGUUCCCUUUAUUUUCUUGCUUUCGGUUUUCAAAAUUCAGACAAUUGACAGCGGCGUCAUUGUUGUUGUUCGUAUUGUUUGUCAUCGCAUUUGUCGCUUUUUGUCUGUCGAUUUUGCCACCUUCCACCUUUCCUCCUGCCGCUUGUUUUGUUGGCGCCGCGUAAUAAAAGUGUCUACGGACCAUUCGCUUGUUGCACGGUGUAACAAAUUGCUCAUGCCCACAUCGCAUCCGAGCAAAGCGGAUUUCAGUGGAGGCAAAGGUGUGGGUCCAGCCACUGGUCAACACUUUGGCGCAAUUUAAAUUUCAUGCAUUUUUCAUUAACGCCAAAAAGGAGGCGACCACUCGACUGGGCUCCUCCAUUACCCGGCGCCAAGGACGUGAACUGUUUCAGGAACGAGUGGCACAGCAGCGGAAAAAGUAGUAGCG
Molecule: non-coding RNA, 459 nt
Organism: Drosophila melanogaster (fruit fly)
Lineage: Eukaryota; Metazoa; Arthropoda; Insecta; Diptera; Drosophilidae
Source: Ensembl